UACAGAGGUCCCGAGCGUUGUUCGGAUUCACUGGGCGUAAAGAGUGUGUAGGCGGUGCUCCCAGUCUGUUGUGAAAUCUCCCGGCUUAACUGGGAGGGUGCAGCGGAAACUAGAGUGCUAGAGGGUGGGAGAGGUAAGCGGAAUUCCUGGUGUAGCGGUGAAAUGCGUAGAUAUCAGGAGGAACACCUGUGGUGUAGACAGCUUACUGGACCACUUCUGACGCUGAGACACGAAAGCGUGGGUAGCAAACAGG
Molecule: ribosomal RNA, 253 nt
Filed under: uncultured bacterium
Lineage: Bacteria
Description: partial 16S ribosomal RNA
Rfam family: Bacterial small subunit ribosomal RNA
Source: RNAcentral